Molecule: RNase P RNA, 281 nt
Filed under: Deltaproteobacteria bacterium
Lineage: Bacteria; Pseudomonadati; Myxococcota; Myxococcia
Description: partial RNase P RNA component class A
Rfam family: Bacterial RNase P class A
About the family: Ribonuclease P (RNase P) is a ubiquitous endoribonuclease, found in archaea, bacteria and eukarya as well as chloroplasts and mitochondria. Its best characterised activity is the generation of mature 5'-ends of tRNAs by cleaving the 5'-leader elements of precursor-tRNAs.
Source: RNAcentral
AGGGCAGGGUGCUGGCUAACGGCCAGUCGAGGUGACUCGCAGGACAGUGCAACAGAAAGUAAACCGCCUGUGAAAGCAGGUAAGGGUGAAACGGUGCGGUAAGAGCGCACCGCCUCGUCGGUGACGACGAGGGCACGGUAAACCCCACCCGAAGCAAGACCAGACAGGGGUCGCGUUGCCCGCGCGAUGACUCCGGGUUGGUUGCUCGAGCCCGUCGGCAACGACGGGCCUAGAGGAAUGAUCGCCAACUACAGAACUCGGCUUAUUGACCUCUCCAUCGU